Molecule: long non-coding RNA, 857 nt
Organism: Osmia bicornis bicornis
Lineage: Eukaryota; Metazoa; Arthropoda; Insecta; Hymenoptera; Megachilidae
Exons: 3
Source: RefSeq, a predicted model, not a curated record
UCUCGUUUUACCUGGAAUCUACUGGAAUGGUGUUCAACUUCCAGAGUUUACCGAGAGGACGUCGCAGUCGAGCUACGUUGAGGUUCCAAAAGGAGGUCGCCGAAUUUCUCAGCAACAGCAAUAAAACUGCAGUAAGAAUGUGUGCGCGUUCCUCGCGAACUUUCGCGACAAGUUGCACGCGAGUUUUACAUGGGGGUUGCGUUUAAUGGGGCCGUUACUCGGACAUGGUGGUGGCUCGCUGGAAACGAGACUGCUUCGAAAACAUUUUCCUUCGACGUGACCCGAGACUCGGAGACACCGAGCGAAGAGGAGAAAUACUGAACGAAAGAGGGCAGGAGAGAAACGUCUUUGUUGGAAGACUCGCAUCAGCGGAGAAAAGAAUACCAAGAACGAUGGAAAUACGACGGAAAAGGUUCAACGGAUCUCUCAAGGCCCUUCGCGCAUUUUUCAUGCCCUUAUUGCGCUUAGGGGAUCUCCUUGCGCGUACUACGGGACACCGUCGAACCAAACGAAUCGAACGUGAUUUUUAUAUUAAAAAGAAGGAAAUAAGAUUGCCAGCGAUAUUUAUACUCAUUGCUUCCACGUAUGCAGAGGAUAGAUAAGAUAAUGGAAACGAGAAGAAAUUUUUAACAUAUUCAUCCCCAAAGUAAAUAUAGUCAUAUAUGAAAUCGUAUAAUAAUACUUAUGGGUGUUUAAAAAUAUUACAAAUUAUUUGUUUCAUAUAUAGGGAAUUGUAUAAGUAUUCCCAUCCCUUCUAUAGAAUUUUGAGAUUGCAUAAACGUUUACAAAAUUAGUAUAUUCAAAUUUAUUUUUAGAGUGUAGUAUUUCUUCCCCAUACCAAGAUAAGAUUCAUAGUU